Molecule: long non-coding RNA, 1578 nt
Filed under: Callithrix jacchus (white-tufted-ear marmoset)
Lineage: Eukaryota; Metazoa; Chordata; Mammalia; Primates; Cebidae
Description: lncRNA (ENSCJAG00000072448.1)
Source: RNAcentral
AUGUUUGGUGAGCAUCUACCACAUGGGAAAGAUCCUUCUUUUUGUUUCGGUCAUCUGCAGUUGGGGGCUGUAGGUCCAUCCCUGUCCUCCCCUAAGCAGGAGAAUAACCCUGUAGACUUCUUGUUAGGGUUCUGGGGUCUCUGGAUGAAUCUGAUGCAGACCCAGUCAUCAGCCUGGCUGGGCGGCAAAAUCAGAAAGCUUGGACGGGGGCUGUGGAACCUUGAUUCUUGUCCCAGUUUUGUCAUUUCCUGCUUCAGCCUCUUUUCAGCUCCCAGCCUCAAUGUCCUCACCUCCAAAAUGGAGAUCUUAAUUACAGUGGUCUGGCUUUGCUCACAGGGUCACUGUGAAAAUCAAAUGAGAUUGCACAGGGAAAAAUCUCUUCAGACUGGAGCUCCAUGCAAUGGUCAUCAUCUGUUGAUGUUGCUCUCUGACAGAUUCUCACUCUGUUGCCAGGCUGGAGUGCAAUGGCGCGAUCUCAGCUCACUGUACCCUCUGCCUCCCAGGUUCAAGCGAUUCUCCUGCCUCAGCCUCCCACGUAGCUGUGACGACAGGUGCGCGCCACCACACCCAGCUAACUUUUUUUUUUUUUUUAAUUUUUAGUAAAGACAAGGUUUCACCAUAUUGGCCAGGAUGGUUUUGAUCUCCUGACCUUGUGAUUUGCCCGCCUCAGCCUCCCAAAGUCCUGGGAUUACAGGCGUGAACUACUGUGCCCGACAGUGUUGAACUUUUUUACCUACAUUUUCUCAGUAAUGUAAGGACCUCAUAGACCAGUGAAAUCCUCCCCUUUCCAAGACCUCAAUUUUGGGAGCUGACAUAGGGCUGCUCACUUUUUAUUUUGCCAUGGAAAGACAUUAUAAAGCAAAUAUCCAUUCAAUUGUUUAUUCAGUUGACAAAUAUUUAUUGAGGAUUUACUCUGUGCCAGGCAUUCUUUCAAGCCUUGGGAUACAGCUGUGAACAAGACAGACAAAAACCCCUGCCCUCCUGUGAAGUGGGCCAAACAGGAAAUAAAUCAUAGGUCACAUGGGCUAAGUGCUAUGGAGGAAAAACAGGUUAGGGAAUGGGGAAAGGCACUCUGUGGGUGGAUGGCAGUUUUCAAUAAGGUAACCAGGGAAGGUGUCCUUGAGAAGGAGACGUGUGAGUUAAGUUCUGAAGCCAGUGAGGCAGUGAGUCUUGUGGGUGGGGGUGAGUGGGGCAAGGAUUCUUGGCAGGGGCCACAGCAGCACCAAGGCCCUUAGUCCUCUUCAGUGCAAAAAAUAAUAAUCAAAGAAGGGCCUUGGUGAGGUGGCGCAUGCCUAUAAUCCCAGCACUGGGAGGCCGAGACAGAAGGAUUGCUUGAAACUAGGAGUUCAAGACUGUCUCUAAAAAACAUAAAUUAGCCAGGCAUGACUGUGUGUGCCUGUGGUCCCAGCUACAGGCUGCGGUGGGAGGAUCGCCUGAGCUCAGGAGUUCAAGACUGCAGUGAGCUGUGUUUGUGCCACUGCACUCCAGUCUGGGCAACAGACUGAGACCCUGUUUCUGUAAUAAAAAUAUAAUAAUAAUAAAGGAAGGAUAUAAUCACAGAAUAAGAGCCAAUCUUCC